RNAcentral lists this long non-coding RNA (2259 nucleotides) under Mus musculus (house mouse). RNAcentral's name for it is "long non-coding RNA chr10:69616552-69618811". Lineage: Eukaryota; Metazoa; Chordata; Mammalia; Rodentia; Muridae. The record is from RNAcentral.
UUACUUCUUAUCAUAAGAGUCUGUGGAACAGAGUUUUUUAAAUUAAAUUUAUUCUUUGAGAAUUUCAUAUACACACACACACAUAUAUAUAUUAUUUUCUCCCCCCAUCUCCCUCAUACUCCUGUCAACUUUAAUCUCUCCCCUUAAUUCCCUUCCCCACACUAGUGUCUUUGAGUGACUUUUCCUUUUGGCGUGGGGUGGGGAGUUGAAACAUGGUCUUUUCUGUGUAUCCCUGGCUGUCCUGGAACUUGCUCUGUACUGUAGGCCAGCCUUGAACUUGGAGAUCCCCCUCUCAAACACUGGGAUUAAAACACAGGCUGCCGACACCAGGCUGGACAUUUUAGAGACUAGACUAUUGACUGUAGGUGGACUUGAAUAUCAUCUAAGUUUUCAGCUUGAAUGAGUUUAUAUCAGAGAGUCUGACCACACCCUUGUUCUGCGACUAGCCACAUAUCUCAUCUGAGGCUUAGCGUUUGAGUUAGCAUCACCAGGCACCAGUGUGGACCAUUCUUUGUACUGGUUAGGCAAGCCUGGAAUGAAGGAAUUGUCUGGUCUGGUCUUCACUUCCUUGGCUCUGCAGGGAACUCCAGUUGGAAGGGACCCAGGAGGGCUUGGCUAAUCCUCCUGCCAGCUGAUGCUACUGGUCAUGGGUUCAUGAGACAGGGAAACUCAUUCUUUGAGUCCUUUGGUUUCUAAAUAGGUUCUGAUUCUACUGGAUCCUCGUUCCAGUUCCAUGGUUCAUACCCUUCCUUCCUCCUUCAUUUUUCAGUCUUGUUAUUCUCCUUCUCAUCUUUAUCUCACGGAAGCCUGGGUCCCAAGUGGACUACUUUAACAAUCAUAGCUGUGCACACAAGCCUGUCCCCCCAUGUACCAUUUGUGUCCACAUUUUCAGAUUGUCAUUAGUGCUCAGCAAACAUACUGAGUACGCUGUCUGAAAGCUGGAAUAUAUGGUGACUCGGGAAGCCCCAGGCUCACUUGGCUAAUUAUAAAUUAGGGCAGGGAAUCAUUUCAAGGACAGUGAGAACUCUAAGCUGUGGACACUGAACCUACCCCAGAGACUCUGCUCUGAUAAUCCCCGCAGAGAAGAGUACUGCCUCCUUCCUUUUCCCUUAGGGAAUCUGUGUCCCAGGUUGCUGGCCCCAGGAUUCCAUAACUAGCCUGACCACAUUGUUAAACUCUGUCCCGAGGACAGUCCCUUCCACAUGACUGGGCAUGACUCUGAAAUUCCCUGCCUGGUUGCAUAGCUUCCUUCACAUCCGAUGAGAAAGACCAGAAAUAGACUUCUCUUCACUGAUCCGUCAGUCAGACUUGCCGAGACCCGGAACCGUCCGUCCUAAGACUGGAGGUGUCAUAUUCUGUGGUCAGCACUGGGUUCCGGAACAGGUGUCAAUAUGGGGAGCAACAGGUUUUAGCGUCGGCUGCUUUAGGACCACAGAACCUCAGGUGGCACGAGAUAGAAUCCAGUGUUGAAGGUCGGGACUUCCACCUUCCGUGCCAGACUUGGACAGUUGGAAGUUCACUUCAGACCAUUCCGGCGGUGACUUCCUUGUUCUUUGUGGAGUCCGGUGUGAUUUCUAUUAUAAAUCCUGUGACAAUUAUUAAGUUCCUUUGAUCUUUUAUGAGAUCUAUCACAAGAUUUACUUAAAUCAGCAAUGACACAGUUAUAGAAAAUGUCAUGUUUAGGAAUAUAAAAAGGUGCAUUCACAGAUACGCAUGUGAGGACAUGGGAGACUCUAGUUCAAUCCUCAGCACACACUGAAAAAAGAAAAGGGGGGAUUAGUGCAUGUUACUGCGUUUAGCUUUAAAAUCCAUAUUUAACAUGAUAUGGAAGUAAGGGGCCUAGCAGACAGAGUGGGUUUUCUCCAAGUUGGUGCCUAAAUACAAAUGAGAUUUUUUUUAAAGUCCUAAUUCAACCAGAAACUAGAAUUCUUAGCUCUGUAAAACAUGCUGCAACUGUUGAAUGCUACUUAAAUUCUAUGUGUGGAGAGUUGACCUGCACAGUCCUUCUGACAUUUAAUUGUAUUCACCUUGGAUAACAAACCAAUGUCCCAUAUCGUCUAUGCUGCUAGGACCACACCCAGUUUGUGCUGUCUGUCACUCAUUUAAUCUUUUUACUUGUCACUUCCUAUAAAGUAUGUGAGGACAGAUCCCACCCAUCCUACUGCAGACCCCACCCAUCCUAGUACUCACAAGUACUCGAGCAUGUAUAUCAGAGAGAUGAGGACUCAGGACCAUAAGCUCCAAGAGUUCCCAUUAUUU